Molecule: ribosomal RNA, 419 nt
Filed under: bacterium
Lineage: Bacteria
Description: partial 16S ribosomal RNA
Rfam family: Bacterial small subunit ribosomal RNA
Source: RNAcentral
UGGGGGAUAUUGCACAAUGGGCGAAAGCCUGAUGCAGCGACGCCGCGUGGGGGAUGAAGGCCUUCGGGUUGUAAACUUCUUUUGCUCUGAACAAGGCAUGCUAAUGGGUGUGUUGAGUGUAGGGGUUGAUUAGCGCCGGCUAACUACGUGCCAGCAGCCGCGGUAAUACGUAGGGCGCGAGCGUUGUCCGGAAUUAUUGGGCGUAAAGGGCUUGUAGGUGGCUGGUUGCGUCUGUCGUGAAAGCUCAUGGCUUAACUGUGGGUUUGCGGUGGGUACGGGCUGGCUUGAGUGCAGUAGGGGAGGCUGGAAUUCCUGGUGUAGCGCGGGAAUGCGCAGAUAUCAGGAGGAAUACCGGUGGCGAAGGCGGGUCUCUGGGCUGUUACUGACACUGAGGAGCGAAAGCAUGGGGAGCGAACAGG